RNAcentral lists this small RNA (1901 nucleotides) under Pongo abelii (Sumatran orangutan). Its description in RNAcentral is "retained intron". Lineage: Eukaryota; Metazoa; Chordata; Mammalia; Primates; Hominidae. The record is from RNAcentral.
GGCAGUUGGUGAACCUGCUGCCUCCAGAGCACCUUCCCUGGUGUGGAGGCAGCCAGGGACCCAGGAUGCUCCGGACCUGUUAUGUGCUCUGUUCCCAAGCUGGUCCCCCUGCCAGGGGCUGGCAGUCCCUGAGCUUCGAUGGCGGGGCCUUCCACCUCAAGGGCACAGGAGAGCUGACACGGGCCUUGCUGGUUCUCCGGCUGUGUGCCUGGCCCCCACUCGUCACUCACGGGCUGUUGGUGAGCAGUGAUCCUGAGGACCAGCCUGGAGGCUCCUCAUAACCUGGCACUGAGCCCUCGCUCCCUGUCACCCAGCUCCAGGCCUGGUCUCGGCGACUCCUGGGCUCUCGGCUCUCAGGCGCAUUUCUCCGAGCAUCCGUCUAUGGGCAGUUUGUGGCUGGUGAGACAGCAGAGGAGGUGAGGGGCUGCGUGCAGCAGCUGCGGACCCUCAGCCUCCGACCACUGCUGGCAGUGCCCACUGAGGAGGAGCCGGACUCUGCUGCCAAGAGUGGGUGAGUAGGGAGCCAGGGCCCAGGGAGGCUGGGAGGACGCAGGAAGGGGCUUUGCCGGUCGGGCCCUGACACCUGCUGGCUGGGCAGUGAGGCGUGGUAUGAGGGGAACCUCGGUGCUAUGCUGCGAUGUGUGGACCUGUCACGGGGCCUCCUGGAGCCCCCCAGCCUGGCUGAGGCCAGCCUCAUGCAGCUGAAGGUGACGGCGCUGACCAGCACUCGGCUCUGUGUAAGGAGUGCAAAGACGGGGGUGCGGGGAGGGCGCGGCUGCCCACCAGGCUCCCCUCACCACCCCGCCUACCACCCCAUUUCAGAAGGAGCUAGCCUCGUGGGUCAGAAGGCCAGGAGCCUCCUUGGAGCUGAGCCCCGAGAGGCUGGCUGAAGCCAUGGACUCUGGGCAGAGCCUCCAGGUCUCCUGCCUCAAUGCCGAGCAGAACCAGCACCUCCAGGCCUCCCUCAGCCGCUUGCAUCGGGUGGCACAGGUAACCCCUCCUGCUGGGAUCUGGCUCCACUGCCCCUGCUGGACACCCGGGGCCCUGACCCGGGUCUCUGUCGCCAUCAGUAUGCCCGGGCCCAGCACGUGCGGCUCCUGGUGGAUGCGGAGUACACCUCACUGAACCCUGCGCUCUCGCUGCUGGUGGCUGCCCUGGCCGUGCGCUGGAACAGCCCGGGUGAAGGCGGGCCCUGGGUGUGGAACACCUACCAGGCCUGUCUAAAGGUGUGCAGUGUGUUCCGGGAGGUGCAGGCUGGGGUCCCCACACCCUGACCUACCAGAACCUGCCUGCGUGCCCUAUAGGACACAUUCGAGCGGCUGGGGAGGGAUGCAGAGGCUGCACACAGGGCUGGCCUGGCCUUCGGAGUGAAGCUGGUACGAGGUGCAUAUCUGGACAAGGAGAGAGCAGUGGCCCAGCUCCAUGGGAUUAAAGACCCCACUCAGCCUGACUAUGAGGCCACCAGUCAGAGUUAUAGCCGCUGCCUGGAACUGAUGCUGACGCACGUGGCCCGCCAUGGCCCCAUGUGCCACCUCAUGGUGGCUUCCCACAAUGAGGAAUCUGUUCGCCAGGCAACCAAGCGCAUGUGGGAGCUGGGCAUUCCUCUGGACGGGACUGUCUGUUUCGGACAACUUCUGGGCAUGUGUGACCACGUCUCUCUGGCACUGGGGCAGGCCGGCUAUGUAGUGUAUAAGUCCAUCCCCUAUGGCUCCUUGGAGGAGGUAAUCCCCUACCUGAUCCGGAGGGCCCAGGAAAACCGGAGCGUGCUUCAGGGUGCCCGCAGGGAACAGGAGCUGCUCAGCCAAGAACUGUGGCGGCGGCUGCUGCCGGGAUGCCGAAGGAUACCCCACUAGCACCCCUGAGGGGGUCAUGUGGUCAAUAAAGGUCCUUAGGUGCUGCCA